GGCAACUGGUGUGUCCAUGUGCUUGUAUUACCUGUCCUACAACCAGGAUGCUAUGGAAAGAGUUUGCAUGCAUCCUCACAAUGUUCUAUCUGAUGUGGUGAACUAUACCCUAUGGUUAAUGGAAUGUUCUCAUGCUUCAGGAUGUUGCCAUGCGACUAUGUUUUUCUCAAUUUGCUUCUCAUUCCGGGCUGUCUUGGAGCUGUUUGACCGUUAUGACGGUCUUCGUCGGCUGGUGAAUUUGAUCAGUACUUUGGAGAUUUUAAAUUUGGAAGACCAGGGUGCACUUUUGAGUGAUGAUGAAA
Molecule: long non-coding RNA, 302 nt
Filed under: Rattus norvegicus (Norway rat)
Lineage: Eukaryota; Metazoa; Chordata; Mammalia; Rodentia; Muridae
Description: long non-coding RNA NONRATT028014
Source: RNAcentral